Molecule: microRNA precursor, 192 nt
Organism: Oryza sativa Japonica Group (Japanese rice)
Lineage: Eukaryota; Viridiplantae; Streptophyta; Magnoliopsida; Poales; Poaceae
Rfam family: MIR812 microRNA precursor family
Source: Rfam
CCUAAUUUCCGUACCUAACGUUUGACCGUUCGUCUUAUUUAAAAAAAUUAUGAAAAAAAAUAAAAAGACAAGUCACGCAUAAAAUAUUAAUCAUGUUUUAUCAUCUCACAACAAUAUAAUACGAAUUAUAAAAAAAAUUUAUAUAAAAUGGACAGUGAAAGUAGGACACGGAAACUCAGAGUUUGCCUUUUU